CGUGGCGCUGAGGAGGGGUACGUCACCCUAUGCCCAGCUGUGUCAGGAGUGUGCGUAGUGGCGGUGUCGGGUGGUGACGCAGUACUCCCCGUGACGGAGACCUCGCCCGCCAGUCAGGGAGUAGUGAGAGGCGAGGGUUAGCAGGCGUCCUCCUCGACCUUUCAGUGUACCGAAGCGCUGCCGAAGACGUGGCUGGCGAAUCUUCUGACGAGAUAGACGAAGCGGAGUGGACGGACCUUUCAGUGGGAGUAGCGGAGUAACGGAGAGAAGACCGACUCCACCUCACUCCACCAAGCCUCCUCUCCUCCUCCUCCUCCAACUCCGGCACUCCCGACAUCCGCCCCAAGCAGCUAGACUGAGUAUCAGGCAGGAAAGCGUCGCGUCCUAACACCACAUCCAGCGCCGGGGACGGAAAAGAACAACGAGAUCGAGCCGCCACGAGGAAGAAAUCUGAUAAAGUUAAGUGAGAAAAAAGAAUUGUGAACCGGAGCUUACCGCGCGUGAGGAGACUAAAGUAAUAACCGAGUGGGUGAAGAAAAGUGUUGAUCCGUGCUGAGUGUCAUGAGUGUGUGUAACUGAUACCGUAAAGCGACCCCGAAGUGUUAUGAGAAGAAUGGAAGAGCCCGGGAACCCUUCGUCUCCGUCUGGGCUGGCGGGGGAGGCGAAAGGCAGGAGGAAUGAAAGGAAAGCAAAGGGACAGUGCUCCGCGUGGCUCUCCGGCGGCUCCUCCCCCCUCGUGUCCACGCCUCGCAUCCUCUGCCUUGUCCUGCUCUUCGGCCUCACCCAGCGCGCCUCGGGCUCCGACUCCAUCAGAAUAGGUGAGUUGACUUUCCAGUUCAUCUUUCACUUUCCG
Molecule: long non-coding RNA, 853 nt
Organism: Eriocheir sinensis (Chinese mitten crab)
Lineage: Eukaryota; Metazoa; Arthropoda; Malacostraca; Decapoda; Varunidae
Exons: 4
Source: RefSeq, a predicted model, not a curated record